Molecule: long non-coding RNA, 630 nt
Organism: Paramisgurnus dabryanus
Lineage: Eukaryota; Metazoa; Chordata; Actinopteri; Cypriniformes; Cobitidae
Source: RefSeq, a predicted model, not a curated record
ACGAAGUAAACACGUAAUGUGUGUUGCUAAUGUUGGGCCAUGUAAUAUGUAAUACAUUAACGUUUUAAUGAAUAGUCUAACGAUUUAUAGUCAUGGUACUCUAUUGUUAUAAUAUGUCUUUUUGACUGAAUACAUGUUUGUUUUAUUUGUCUAUAUCUUAGAUUCGCAGCUGGACACAUCCUUCUACACUGUAUGCAAACAUGCAACAUCAUAACACACAGUACAAGGAGUCAGACUGGCAUAUGAGGAGCAAAGGAACCCAGGCAGUAGCAUCGUUUCACAAUGUUUCCAUCACCAUCAUCAGUGGAUGCCUUUGCCGUCCGUACCCUGAGAUUUCAGAUUUGCAGCAAAAAAAUUUGAUUUUCUCAUUUAUUGGAAUGCUAUGCAGGUUGUACCUUGCAGCCAUCCAUUACAAUGUCACCAAGCCGUAACAAAAGCAGGAGAGGGAAAGUACAAGGCUAUGUUCCCAAAACACACAAAUGACAUACCUUAUGUGGAUGAUGUGAUCAGGCUUGUGUUUGCUGAGGUAUUUGAAGAUAAGCUGAAGGAAACCCCGAUUCCAAUGGACCUGGCAUCACAGUUUGAGAGACCUUCAAAGGAGGACGUGAUUGCAUGCCAUCUUCAGUGCAG